Molecule: long non-coding RNA, 2372 nt
Organism: Solenopsis invicta (red fire ant)
Lineage: Eukaryota; Metazoa; Arthropoda; Insecta; Hymenoptera; Formicidae
Exons: 2
Source: RefSeq, a predicted model, not a curated record
UCGACAACAGAAUGGCUUUCUAUAAAACCGAAAGAAACUGUUUAUAAUGAUAAUAAAAAAUAUGUUAUUUUAAAACCUAAAUAGACAGACUUGUUUGCAACAAAACUUUGGGAAAAUUUAAGAAUUUCUUGUGUUUGGUCAUUUACAUAAGUAUGCUGUUUAGUAUAAUAGCCUUACUGUACCGACCAAAUUUCUAGGAAGGCGCGCGCUAUACUCUUUUCCCUAAAAGGAUAAAAAUCUAGUGCAUUAGUCGCUCGACAGGGCGCGUUUGCCGCGCUUAUCAUGCGUUGCAUCAUCGCGAUGUAUUUCAGAACUCGAUCACCUCUCGCACGAGCUGCAUCAUCUUAACGAAAUCACUAGAAAUAUUCCGUGCGUAAAAUUGAAAGUUUAGAGAAGUCCAGCAUUCUCGCCCACGCACCCAACGCGACACAUUCCUUCCGCGGGACAACGUGGUUUUGUGACCGGCGUUCUCCAUGAACGCACGUACGGUAACGUACAAAAACAUAUGCUAAAGGAUCUAUUAGAAAAAAAUGCAUCCAUUAAAUUAAAAAGGAAAAUGUAAAGAGUGUGGUGCAAGAAUAAUCAGCUUAAUUGGAAAUUAUUCAGUUAAAAACAAAAAUAUUCUGUCAGAAAAAACAAUAAAAGACUACAAGUCCGAUUUUAUCCAUACAACGAGGCGACAAUUGAUAGGAAAGCGAAGAUUAGAUAUAGCAGGCAAUCUUUGACACAAAAACGGACGCAAUUACCUACAUAUGUAUGAAAUGAAGCAAAAACUUUAAUUCGAUUUAGCGAUCCUUAUCCUCCUAUUCUACCAAACACUGAUGUUCUACGUAAAACAAAAAGUGAAACGCAAGAAAAACGUUUGAGUAUCACAGGAUUGUUACCAAUAAGUAACAUAGUUGACACGGAAAAUACGACACACAUAGGAAGAAUCAUAAAAAAGUUGGAUCAUCGGCAUUCUUCUAUCAUUAUUGGACGAAGGAGCAAAAAUUGCUUUACAAGUUAAACUUGAAAUUUGAUGAGUUAUGACAAUUCAUGACAAUUGACGCUACAGAACCAAUAGUAAAAAAAUACGAUAUAAACAUAUAAAAUCAAUGCACGUAUUUUUAUAUUAAUGUAUGAGCGUGUUGUCUGCAGGAAGUGUAUCUGUUUUCCAAAUGUUAUUUGCCGAUUAUACUGCAACUGCAAUAACAACUCAGCUUUCGACGAUUUUAAGUGAUAAUGUCGCGAUUUCUAAAAUAAUUAUUUACAAUUUUAGUACGGCUUUGUUGAUGUCUAUCGCAAUUGCACGUGGAAAGAAAGCUGAUGUAAAAGAUUAUAUUAAUAAACACUUGCUAUUAUAUUAUAAUGAACCAAAAAGAAACACUCCCUGUAACUUAUAAUAUAUUUGUAGAGACGCUGGUCUUCCAGUGGCAAUAGUAUGUAUAUGGAUGGCGAAACAUUAAAUACGUAUUGAAGUUGCUGAAAAUGUAAAACAUUUAAUAUACUAUCUUCUUCUGUGUACUGGUAUUAUGAUAUGGCAUUUGGCAUAAGAAAUUGCGUUGCAACGUCUUCCAUCAGCGUUGAAACGGAAUUUGCUAAUAUUAAAAUACGAGCUUUUAAAAAUUGCCUCAAAGAGUCGAUAAAUUCAUUUUAUCGUCACGUCAUUGAUCGCGUUAAAGAAGCCUCAGCAAAAUCUACCUUUUCAAAAACUGAAUCAGUUAGAAAAAAAAUAAAAGCCAUUUUAAAGGAACCUGCGAACGAGAAUAUCGAUGUAACUACUAAAAUUAAUGAUAACACCAGUGUAUCACAAAACAACUCUUCAGUUGAUCUUUCGUCGAGUAAGGUUGAGGUUUUCGAUAUAAGAUAAUAGUAGAGAAAAUACAAAAAAAUAUAUACUUCAUGAAAACAUGAAGAUAAAUAAUGCAAUAAGUUAUGAAAACUUAGAAAAGUAAGCGAACGAAUUCGAUUGUAAUGAUAUACAAGAUGUCAAUAUGGAAAAUAUAAAUGAUGCAAAUAUAAAAAUGAGCAAAGCAAUAAAUAAAAGCUUACAAGAAGCCGUAAGCAAAUCCCAUUUUAGUGAUGUACAAGACGUCAGUAUGGAAAAGAUAAACGUGUUUGAAGAAAAUCUAAAAAUAAAUAAAGCGAUAAAUGAUAAAAGUUUAGAAGAUGCAAAUGAAUUCGAUUUAGAGUAAAAAAAUUCUCUUAAAGUAAAUAAAAAUUGGGGCGAAAAAAUUACACCAAAUAAAAAAAGAGAACAUCCAACUUAUAUGAAUUCUUUUUCAGACUGGAAUUUUGUACAAUCACAUAAAUUCAUGGAUGUACCAAUAUUAAGAAAUGGCAAGAUGUGCGAGAGCCUUUAAUUUAAAAAUAAAUAUGUAUGUGUAAAAAAA